This 492-nucleotide ribosomal RNA is filed under the name uncultured bacterium. RNAcentral's name for it is "partial 16S ribosomal RNA". It matches the Rfam family "Bacterial small subunit ribosomal RNA", at positions 29 to 507 of the family's 1533-position model. The record is from RNAcentral.
AGUGAACGCUGGCGGUAGGCCUAGCACAUGCAAGUCGAACGGCAGCACAGUAAGAGCUUGCUCUUACGGGUGGCGAGUGGCGGACGGGUGAGGAAUACAUCGGAAUCUACUUUUUCGUGGGGGAUAACGUAGGGAAACUUACGCUAAUACCGCAUACGACCUACGGGUGAAAGCAGGGGAUCUUCGGACCUUGCGCGAUUGAAUGAGCCGAUGUCGGAUUAGCUAGUUGGCGGGGUAAAGGCCCACCAAGGCGACGAUCCGUAGCUGGUCUGAGAGGAUGAUCAGCCACACUGGAACUGAGACACGGUCCAGACUCCUACGGGAGGCAGCAGUGGGGAAUAUUGGACAAUGGGCGCAAGCCUGAUCCAGCCAUACCGCGUGGGUGAAGAAGGCCUUCGGGUUGUAAAGCCCUUUUGUUGGGAAAGAAAAGCAGCAGGUUAAUACCCCGCUGUUCUGACGGUGCCCAAAGAAUAAGCACCGGCUAACUUCGUG